RNAcentral lists this ribosomal RNA (492 nucleotides) under uncultured bacterium. RNAcentral's name for it is "partial 16S ribosomal RNA". It matches the Rfam family "Bacterial small subunit ribosomal RNA", at positions 29 to 507 of the family's 1533-position model. The record is from RNAcentral.
AGUGAACGCUGGCGGUAGGCCUAACACAUGCAAGUCGAACGGCAGCACAGUAAGAGCCUGCUCUUACGGGUGGCGAGUGGCGGACGGGUGGGGAAUACAUCGGAAUCUACUUUUUCGUGGGGGAUAACGUAGGGAAACUUACGCUAAUACCGCAUACGACCUACGGGUGAAAGCAGGGGAUCUUCGGACCUUGCGCGAUUGAAUGAGCCGAUGUCGGAUUAGCUAGUUGGCGGGGUAAAGGCCCACCAAGGCGACGAUCCGUAGCUGGUCUGAGAGGAUGAUCAGCCACACUGGAACUGAGACACGGUCCAGACUCCUACGGGAGGCAGCAGUGGGGAAUAUUGGACAAUGGGCGCAAGCCUGAUCCAGCCACACCGCGUGGGUGAAGAAGGCCUUCGGGUUGUAAAGCCCUUUUGUUGGGAAAGAAAAGCAGCAGGUUAAUACCCCGCUGUUCUGACGGUACCCAAAGAAUAAGCACCGGCUAACUUCGUG